CAUCUUAGGACUGUCUGCAUCCAACCACACGGAUUGAAUGAGAAGUUUGUGAAGUCGUUGGUUGUAAGCAGAUCUACAGGGAAGCCAUUGGUGGCCGUCGUCCUUUGUUGAAUGGCUAACUCCGGUGUAUUGAUUAUCCUUGCCACUUGCUACCCAGGUGAAGCACUCGCAUUUGGCCCCAGUACUUAAAGCCUGGACCUGAAUUUCUGCAUCUUGCACUUGCUCCUCAACAGAAUGCGGCCUAUGGUCCUCUUGCCUCUCAACUGGAGUUUUCAAGCCUAGUACAUUACUUGCUCUUCGAUUCAUUUUCCGAAAUACUUGCUAUUGCUUGUUCCUUUGGUCACUUCCAUUGUGUGUACCCUGAAAUCUCUUCGUCACAGCAGGAGAUUUUAUUCCACAGCACAAGUUUGAAGCUGAACUGGUUUUUGCAUGUUCCAGCAAAGCUACCCAUGAUUUGAGUUCAAGUCAACAGAGUUGUAUGCAGCAAGUAUCUUCAAGACAAUUAGUCUAAUUUGGGAGAAAAAGAACUUUCUAUUUUAGAGCUCAGGGUGUAUGGGUAUCUUUGUUUAUCAUUUUUGUUACAUUGUUGUUUUGAAUGAACAAGUAUAAGAUAGACAUAAUGAUGUCUUAGAUGUUAUUGAUUACCUACAGAACAUGUAAUCUGAACUAAAGAAACUUCAACAUUUCUAGGUUGAAUCUUGAACUAUUUUGUUUUAGAACUUGGUGUCGUGAUUUGGACCGAGAUACAUGUUAAAAAGAAGUGUUAAUUCUAGGACUAAUUUUAUAAAAAAUAAAUACAUUUUAAAAAAUAUAAAUAAAGGAAAAAAUUUCUUGCUUUCACAACAUAAAUGUUUCAUUUGGUUCUUUUAGAUUUAAUAUUAAUAAUAGUGCUAAAUUUAGAAAAUUGUCUUUUACAAAGUUGUAAAUUACAAUGUAAUUCAUACUACACACUUUUGUUUGUGUUAUUUUAUGCUUUCUAAUUUUUCUUUUGCUCUUUAAAUUGAUAUGA
Molecule: long non-coding RNA, 1009 nt
Filed under: Physcomitrium patens
Lineage: Eukaryota; Viridiplantae; Streptophyta; Bryopsida; Funariales; Funariaceae
Description: long non-coding RNA (PPAT_LNC013618)
Source: RNAcentral